This 399-nucleotide unclassified non-coding RNA is filed under the name Ganoderma australe. RNAcentral's name for it is "sequence contains 18S rRNA gene, ITS1, 5.8S rRNA gene, ITS2, 28S rRNA gene". The stretch from base 189 to 342 matches the Rfam family "5.8S ribosomal RNA". The record is from RNAcentral. Lineage: Eukaryota; Fungi; Basidiomycota; Agaricomycetes; Polyporales; Polyporaceae.
UGGGUUGUAGCUGGCCUUACGAGGCAUGUGCACGCCCUGCUCAUCCACUCUACACCUGUGCACUUACUGUGGGUUACCCAUCGCGAAACGGGCUCUUCACUGAGCUCGCGGAGCGCACCUGUGCCCGCGUUUAUCACAAACCCUAUAAAGUAUUAGCAUGUGUAUUGCGAUGUAACGCAUCUAUAUACAACUUUCAGCAACGGAUCUCUUGGCUCUCGCAUCGAUGAAGAACGCAGCGAAAUGCGAUAAGUAAUGUGAAUUGCAGAAUUCAGUGAAUCAUCGAAUCUUUGAACGCACCUUGCGCUCCUUGGUAUUCCGAGGAGCAUGCCUGUUUGAGUGUCAUGAAAUCUUCAACUUACAAGCUCUUUGCGGGGUUUGUAGGCUUGGACUUGGAGGCUU